RNAcentral lists this long non-coding RNA (2470 nucleotides) under Sus scrofa (pig). RNAcentral's name for it is "lncRNA (ENSSSCG00050073658.1)". Lineage: Eukaryota; Metazoa; Chordata; Mammalia; Artiodactyla; Suidae. The record is from RNAcentral.
UUUUUUGUUUUUUGUUUUUUUUUUGGGGGGGGGCUGCACCUGCGGCAUAUGGAGGUUCCCAGGCUAGGGGUCAAAUUAGAGCUGCAGGCCGGUCUCCACCACAGUCACAGCAAUGCUGGAUCCUUAAUCCACUGAGUGAGGCCAGGGAUCGAACCCGCGUCCUCAUGGAUACUAGUCAGGUUCGUAACCUGCUGAGCCACAAUGGGAGCUCCCAUGCAUAGCUUUUUAUUUUUUUAUUUUUAUUUUUAUUUUAUUUUAUUUUAUUUUUUUUUUUUGUCUUUCGUCUUUUUGUCUUUUUUUUUGUUGUUGUUGUUGUUGCUAUUUCUUGGGCCGCUCCCGCGGCAUAUGGAGGUUCCCAGGCUAGGGGUCUAAUCGGAUCUGUAGCCACCAGCCUACGCCAGAGCCACAGCAACGCGGGAUCCGAGCCACAUCCGCAACCUACACCACAGCCCACGGCAACGCCGGAUCGUUAACCCACUGAGCAAGGGCAGGGACCGAACCCGCAACCUCAUGGUUCCUAGUCGGAUUCGUUAACCACUGCGCCACGACGGGAACUCCCUUAUUUUUAUUUUUUAAUUUUUUUUAUUUUCCCACUGUACAGCAAGGGGAUCAAGUUAUCCUUACAUGUAUACAUUACAAUUACAUUUUUUUCCAUGCAUAGCUUUUUAAACGGCAGUCUUAGAAACAGUGAAUAUCUGUGUCCAGCACUGGCACGUGUGGCAGCAUCUGGCUGUGCACAUGCGCCCUCGUUCUGGAAGGUGGGGCAGUGACAUAGCCGUGGCCUCUGUGUGGCUGUGAGGCAGGACAGGAAGGCCUGGGUCCACUGUCUGAGCAGGACUUGCCAUACAGGGAGCUGACACUUCUAUCCCUUCCCUUCACAACUGCCAAGGGACGGGGCCUGGAAACACUCAAUGGGAAAGAAGGAAGAGGCUUUGAUUUCUCUGGAGCUGGUGCCCACUCCCUGUCCUCGGCCACCUCGCCUCCCUGCCGGCGUCGUGCUGCUUUGCUGGCCCAGGGUUCCAUCCUGCCCUCUGCCUGCGUGCAGUGUCAGUGACUCUACAGUUCUCUUGUCCCCUCCCUGUGGUGAGCAGCCCCUGUCACCCCCAUGCAGCAGCUGCUUGGAUCUCUGUCUCUCUACACAAGUGACAGCUCUCGAAGUGACAGCUCUCAACUCCGGACUUCAACUCCGCGAAGUCCAAACAAAGCCUCGUCCUCUCUCAUGGCCACAGAACAGCUUCCCCUGCUGCCUAAGAAGUUAUGCUGCAGUCCUCGUUGUGGCUCAGUGGGUUAAGGACCUGGCGUUGUCUCCAUGAGGACAGAUGCCGAUUUGAUCCACAGCCUCGCUCAGUGGCUUAAGGGUCCGGUGUGGCUGUGGCUGUGGCUGUGUCUGUGCUGAGGGCCCACAGCUGCACCUCUGAUUCGACCUCUAGCCCAGGAACUUUCAUGUGCUGCAGGUGUGGCUAUAAAAAGAAAAAAGGAAGCUAUGUUUCUCUUUUGUCACUAACAGCAUUAUCACUGACAGGCAUUGUCAGGCACCUGCCACAGGCCAGGAUCUUGGUUCUGGGUGGUGAGCCCAGGGCGUCCCCUGCACAUGACAGCCAGACUCCAGGAUUAUCCUCAGCAAGUGACACAGGGCACUGUGACAGACACCAAAGCUGAGGUGCCCGCUAGGUGGCCUCUGCAGAGGUGACAUUUAAAGUGAGCCCUAGUCAUGGGAAGAGCAACCUGGGCUGAGGGAACAGCAAAUGCAGAAGCCCUGCGGCAGACAGUGCUCCUUGUGCAGUGCCCCGAGGCUAAGCCAAAAGGGAGCCUAGGUUGGGGGACGUGUGGGCAGGACCCAGAAUACUGUAGUUUGGGGUUCACAGAGAAAGUGUCUGGACCACCUUAAAGGUUCACUGAUGCUCUGUGGGGACCAGCGUGGAUGUGGCAAGGAGGGAGGGGUGAUGAGUGGGAAGACAGUCAUGUGGCAGGUAGGAAAGGAGGAUGGGGGUGGGUGGAGGUGGAUGGAGGAGGAUGGAGGAGGAUGGAGGAGGAUGGAGGAGGAUGGAGGAGGAUGGAGGAGGAUGGAGGAGGAUGGAGGAGGAUGGAGGAGGAUGGAGGAGGAUGGAGGAGGAUGGAGGAGGAUGGAGGAGGAUGGAGGAGGAUGGAGGAGGAUGGAGGAGGAUGGAGGAGGAUGGAGGAGGAUGGAGGAGGAUGGAGGAGGAUGGAGGAGGAUGGAGGAGGAUGGAGGAGGAUGGAGGAGGAUGGAGGAGGAUGGAGGAGGAUGGAGGAGGAUGGAGGAGGAUGGAGGAGGAUGGAGGAGGAUGGAGGAGGAUGGAGGAGGAUGGAGGAGGAUGGAGGAGGAUGGAGGAGGAUGGAGGAGGAUGGAGGAGGAUGGAGGAGGAUGGAGGAGGAUGGAGGGGGAUGGAGGAGGAUGGAGGAGGAUGGAGGAGGAUGGAGGAGGAUGGAGGAGGAUGGAGGAGGAUGGAGG